RNAcentral lists this ribosomal RNA (944 nucleotides) under Inocybe nobilissima. Its description in RNAcentral is "eukaryotic LSU rRNA". It matches the Rfam family "Eukaryotic large subunit ribosomal RNA", at positions 37 to 961 of the family's 3401-position model. Lineage: Eukaryota; Fungi; Basidiomycota; Agaricomycetes; Agaricales; Inocybaceae. The record is from RNAcentral.
AGCAUAUCAAUAAGCGGAGGAAAAGAAACUAACAAGGAUUCCCCUAGUAACUGCGAGUGAAGCGGGAAAAGCUCAAAUUUGAAAUCUGGCAGUUGUCAACUGUCCGAGUUGUAAUCUAGAGAAGUGUUACCUGUGCUGGACCAUGUACAAGUCUCCUGGAAUGGAGCAUCAUAGAGGGUGAGAAUCCCGUCUUUGACAUGGACUGCCUGUGCAUUAUGGUGCGCUCUCAAAGAGUCGAGUUGUUUGGGAAUGCAGCUCAAAAUGGGUGGUAAAUGCCAUCUAAAGCUAAAUAUUGGCGAGAGACCGAUAGCGAACAAGUACCGUGAGGGAAAGAUGAAAAGAACUUUGGAAAGAGAGUUAAACAGUACGUGAAAUUGCUGAAAGGGAAACGCUUGAAGUCAGUCGCAUCAGCCAGAAAUCAGUCUUGCUUUUGCUUGGCGUACUUUCUGGUUUCUGAUGGGUCAGCAUCAAUUUUGACCACUGCAUAAAGUCUUUGGGAACGUGGCAUCCUUGGAUGUGUUAUAGCCCAUUGUCGUAUAUGGUGGUUGGGAUUGAGGAACUCAGCACGCCCUGCAAGGGGCCAGGUUUCGGCCAUGUCCGUGCUUAGGAUGCUGGCAUAAUGGCUUUAAUCGACCCGUCUUGAAACACGGACCAAGGAGUCUAACAUGCCUGCGAGUGUUUGGGUGGAAAACCCAUUCGCGUAAUGAAAGUGAAAGUUGAGAUCUCUGUAAAGGAGAGCAUUGACGCCCGGACCAGACCUUCUGUGACGGAUCCGCGGUAGAGCAUGUAUGUUGGGACCCGAAAGAUGGUGAACUAUGCCUGAAUAGGGUGAAGCCAGAGGAAACUCUGGUGGAGGCUCGUAGCGAUUCUGACGUGCAAAUCGAUCGUCAAAUUUGGGUAUAGGGGCGAAAGACUAAUCGAACCAUCUAGUAGCUGGUUCCUGC